This is a long non-coding RNA of Anolis carolinensis (green anole), 2489 nucleotides long. RefSeq lists it as uncharacterized. The transcript is spliced from 2 exons. The record is from RefSeq and is a predicted model, not a curated record. Lineage: Eukaryota; Metazoa; Chordata; Lepidosauria; Squamata; Anolidae.
AACACAUGUUUGCAAUGAGAUCUAAGGACAACCUCACAACCAACCUGCUUACCCCCUGUCAAAAUGUUAUUGCCAUUAAAUGAAGCCCAGCAUCCUUAGAAGACUUACCUCUCCCAAUGGGGCUGUGGCUCCAGUCAAUGCACUGAUGUCUCCGAAGUAGGACUACACAAAAACCUACUAACCGGUGUUCAUCUUCUCGACUCUGCUUGGAGGAGUGAGCAAAGCGUCCUUCCCGAAUCUCCUCAGGAGCAUCGGAAUAUUGCUCUUUCAACUCCCGGAUGAUAGAACUACUGAGAGCUUUUUUCUUCGCCUGCUCCAACAUCUUCUUUUCUCGCUCCACUUCUGUUUCAUCUGGCACAGAGAAACAGCAACAGAGCAUCGUUAUCAGCAAUCUUCCCCAAUGGUGAAUCUACACCAAGGAUGGGCAAACUUGGGCCAGUAGGCGGUUAGGAAUUGUGAAAAUUGAUGUCCAAAACACCUGGAAGGCCCAAGUUUGCCCAUGCCUGAUCCACACCAUAGACUGAGUGCAGUUUGACACCCGUUUAACUGUCAUGGCUCAAUACUAUAGAAUCAUGGAGUUUGUGGUUUUACAAGGCUUUUUGUUUUCUCUGCCAAAGAGAGCUGGUCCCUCACCAAACUACAAAUCCCAGGAUUUUACAAAAUUUGUGGCAGUUCAAGUGGUAUCAAACCACAUUCACUCUACAGAGUAAAUGCACCUUGGAUUGAUGUCAGCAGGUUCUGGGCAUGGACAUUCAGUUGAUCACAGAAAUGCUUUUUAAACCCCUGAAUGCAGCUUGAGUCUCCCUUAUUCAAAAUGCUUGGAAUCAAAAUUGUUAAGAACUUUUUUGGAUGUUGGAAUAGCUCUUUUGAAAUAUACGUGCAUAAAUGAGAUUUCUUGGAGCUGGGACCCAAAUCUGAAUAUGAAAUUAAUUUAUGUUUCAUAGACAUCUUAUACACAGAGCCUAAGAAUAUCUCCUUUUUGUAAAAUGCUUAGGAUCAGAAAUGUUUGGGUUUUAUUUUUGGAUUUUGGAAAAUAUGUAUUGGCAGAUACACACACACACACACACACAUAAAUGAAAUUUUGUUCAACUGGGACCCAGGUCUGAAUUUUUAAAUUCAUUUAUGUUUCAUAGACCUCUAAAACACCAAGUCUGAAGAUAAUUUUACACACAACAUUUGUAAUAAUGCUGUGCAUAGACCCAAGUUUGUGUAUUGUGAACAGUCAGAAAGCAAAUGUGUCACUUUCUUAGCCACCCUACUAACAAUUUUGAGAUAUUUCUGAAUUUCCGAUGAGGGGUGCUCGAGUUGAACUACCACCUCUCAUCAUCAAUACCGGUCAACCCACAACAAUUCAAGUACUUUACAUACUGUAAUGUACAGGCACCAGGCGAGGUGGGACAUAUUUCUUGCUCCCUCCUUUUGAUGCCCCUUUUGCAGAACGUUUUGCACCAUCAGCAGCUUCUUCAUCUUCCUCCUCUGAAUCACUGAGCUGUGAGUAAGGAGAAGACAAGAACUGUGCCAUAAUUUCCAAGAGUCAUUUCUAAUAGUAAACCAGUGAAAUCUAGGGAUCUCAAUUGAGUUUCAACAUCUCUUUUUAGCAUUUUAAGAUUAUUGUAAUACACUCUUCUGCAUCAUGUUUGGUUUAUUGUAUGGUGCCCUGAGAAUUUCAGAUAUCAAGAAGGGUAUAAAUAGUCGAUAUAAAUGCAUAAGCAUCUCAGACCAGGGCUUCUUAAACCUUUGCCAGUCACAACCCAUUCCACCCGAGAAAUGUUUAUGUGACCUCAGAUAUUUAGGUAUCUCAAACAGAUAUACAAAUCAAAUAUUUACUGAUAAUAAAUCAGCAUUUGCAAGGCUUGUUAAACAGGCAGAUUUGCCUUUUGUGAAAUACAGUUGAAGCAUCUUCUGUAGAACCCACUGCACAUUGUUGCUAACAAAUCUGUGUAAACAAGUGGCAUUCAGAAGCCUUUUAUUAUUGCAAUUUUUUUUUUACUCCCAACAAUGGGGCCGGGCUGUGGCGCAGCUGGCUAGUAACAAGCUGCUAUAAAUCACUACUGACCGAGAGGUCAUGACUUCGAAGCCCGGGUCGGGUUAAGCCUCCAGCCAUUAGAAAAAAAAAUAGCCCCGGCUUGCUGUUGACCUAGCAGCCCCGAAAGACAGUUGCAUCUGUCAAGUAGGGAAAAUUUAGGUACGCUUUAUGCGGGAGGCUAAUUUAACUAAUCUACAACACCAUAAAACUGCUCACGAGGAAAAGAAUGAGGAAGAACAGCCACCAAUGGACGGUGAAGCAACAGCUCCCCCUGUGGCCGGAAUCGUGAACCUGGAAAGAUGUUAAAAUGCCUCUGUGUCUAUCUAAAACUGAAUGUUGUUUGUCUGUUGGCAUUGAAUGUUUGCCAUAUAUGUGUUCAUUGUAAUCCGCCCUGAGUCCCCUUCGGGGUGAGAAGGGCGGAAUAUAAACUCUGUAAAUAAAUAAAUAAAUAAAUAAACAAUGA